RNAcentral lists this unclassified non-coding RNA (412 nucleotides) under soil metagenome. Its description in RNAcentral is "partial contains 5.8S ribosomal RNA, internal transcribed spacer 2, and large subunit ribosomal RNA". The stretch from base 1 to 122 matches the Rfam family "5.8S ribosomal RNA", at positions 35 to 154 of the family's 154-position model. The record is from RNAcentral.
GAUGAAGAACGCAGCGAAAUGCGAUACUUGGUGUGAAUUGCAGAAUCCCGUGAACCAUCGAGUCUUUGAACGCAAGUUGCGCCCGAAGCCGUCAGGCCGAGGGCACGCCUGCCUGGGCGUCACACGCCGUUGCCCCCCCGCGCCCCGCACCCAACUCUUUGGGAGCGACCGCGGGGCGGGCUGAUGAUGGCCUCCCGUGCGCUCCGCCGCGCGGUUGGCCCAAAUACCGAGUCCCCAGCGACGUGCGCCACGACGAUCGGUGGUUGAGAGACCUCUGUCGCAAGUCGUGCGCGCCCGUCGCGUCACGCGGGCUCGCAUAGCGCCUCGCGCCGCACCCGGUGCGGAGCUUUCAACGCGACCCCAGGUCAGGCGGGGUUACCCGCUGAAUUUAAGCAUAUCAAUAAGCGGAGGA